GGGCUCUGAGAGCUGCGGGGAAGGGUGAAGGUGGAAGAUGGAGGCCUUGUGUGGAGGGGUCCUUGGUAGAAGACCCCAGAAAAGGUGUUGGUUGAUAUAGACAGCAGGAUGGUGGCCAUGGAAGUCAGAAUCCGCUAAGGAGCAUGUAACAACUCACCUGCUGAAUCAACUAGCCCUGAAAAUGGAUGGCACUGGAGCGUCAGGCCCAUACCCGGCCAUCGCCAGCAGUCAAUGGAAUGCGAGUGCCUUAGAGGUCUUGGGGCCGAAACGAUCUCAACCUAUUCUCAAACUUUAAAUGGGCAAGAAGCCCAGCUAGCUCAGUCGGUAGAGCAUAAGACUCUUAAUCUCAGGGUUGUGGAUUUGUGCCCCAUGCUGGGUGCCAGAUGAAGAG
This 391-nucleotide transfer RNA is filed under the name Pan troglodytes (chimpanzee). RNAcentral describes it as "antisense RNA". The stretch from base 71 to 196 matches the Rfam family "Eukaryotic large subunit ribosomal RNA", at positions 1207 to 1332 of the family's 3401-position model. The record is from RNAcentral. Lineage: Eukaryota; Metazoa; Chordata; Mammalia; Primates; Hominidae.